UGAACUUAAAUUUUCUGUAGGCAACAUGAUUCUGAGCAUAGCAACAUGAUUGUAAGGCUAUUGUAUUCCUAAAUUACUAAUAUCUCCCAAAAUAUUGGUCCUAUCAACUUGCCAUUUUUGCUAG
Molecule: long non-coding RNA, 124 nt
Organism: Sphaeramia orbicularis (orbiculate cardinalfish)
Lineage: Eukaryota; Metazoa; Chordata; Actinopteri; Kurtiformes; Apogonidae
Exons: 3
Source: RefSeq, a predicted model, not a curated record